AGCGAUGGUCAUCGGUUCGACUCCGAUAGCGGGCU
Molecule: transfer RNA, 35 nt
Filed under: Dicranum scoparium
Lineage: Eukaryota; Viridiplantae; Streptophyta; Bryopsida; Dicranales; Dicranaceae
Description: partial tRNA-Thr
Source: RNAcentral